Molecule: unclassified non-coding RNA, 253 nt
Filed under: uncultured Dothideomycetes
Lineage: Eukaryota; Fungi; Ascomycota; Dothideomycetes
Description: sequence contains 5.8S rRNA gene, ITS2, 28S rRNA gene
Source: RNAcentral
AACGCAUAUUGCGCCCCUUGGUAUUCCGGGGGGCACACCUGUUCGAGCGCCAUUUCAACCCUCAAGUUUAACUUGGUGUUGGGUGAGGUCAUUUAGUUGACCCUCCCGUAACUAGUAGGCGGUUAUGAUCAAUUUCCCUCAGCGUAGCAAGCUAACGCACCCGCUCGGGGAUUUUGUCUAACCUUUUUGCCAAAAAUCCUUUUUUCUUUCAAGGUUUGGCCUCGGAUCAGGUGGGGACACCCGCUGAACUUAA